CACAUGUUUAGCAGAUGUUAUUGGUCACAUACACAUGUUUAGCAGAUGUUAUUGGUCACAUACACAUGUUUAGCAGAUGUUAUUGGUCACAUACACGUUUAGCAGAUGUUAUUGGUCACAUACACAUGUUUAGCAGAUGUUAUUGGUCACAUACACGUUUAGCAGAUGUUAUUGGUCACAUACACAUGUUUAGCAGAUGUUAUUGGUCACAUACACAUGUUUAGCAGAUGUUAUUGCGGGUGUAGCGAAAUGCUUGUGUUUCUAGCUCCAACAGUGCAGUAAUAUCUGACUAAAUGCGUAUGUUACUAGUGCCAACAGUGCAGUAACAUCUAACAAUUCACAACAAUACACACAUCUAAAAGUAAAAUUAUAGAAUUAAGAAAUAUAUACACAUUAGAUUGAGCAAUGUCAGAGUGGCAUUGAUUCAAAUACAGUAGAAUAGAAUACAGUAUAUACAUAUGAGAUGAGUAAAGCACUAUGUAAACAUUAUUUAAACCUUAGUAAAGUGACCAGUGAUUCCUUGUCUAUGUAUAUAGGGCAACAGCCACUAAGGUGCAGGGUUAUGUAACCGGCUAGUGAUGGCUAUUUAACAGUCUGAUGGCCUUGAGAUGGUCUUUCACUGUUCAGAAGGCUUUCUUUGUGGUAAAUGAGAAGCACAUUGCCAGAUAACAGACAAGGUCAUGCGGAAAGAGUUCCACCCACAUGCAGUUAUAUUUUAAUUCAAGGGUGGCUCUUCCUAGAGACCUAUACCCUCCUGCAGGGUUAUGUUCCAGUCCUACUCAGAACACACCUGAUUCUAUUAAUCAGCUCCUCCUCAGGAUAUUGGGUAUAGGGCUGGAGCCAAAGCCUGCACGCCCAGUAGCUCUCCAAUAUGACGGAUGGCCAACCCUGUUCUAAUUUCCCCUGUUUGUGUGAAUAAAUCAUAUGCUCUGUGCUGCAUCUCAAUCCACCACACCCCAUGUGCCGCACUACAGAUCCUGGAUCUGAUUCCAGGCUGUAUCACAGCGGUCUAAGGCACUGCAUCUCAGUGCUAGAGGUGUCACUACAGAUCCUGGAUCUGAUUCCAGGCUGUAUGACAGCGGUCUAAGGCACUGCAACUCAGUGCUAGAGGUGUCACUACAGAUCCUGGAUCUGAUUCCAGGCUGUAUCACAGCGGUCUAAGGCACUGCAUCUCAGUGCUAGAGGUGUCACUACAGAUCCUGGAUCUGAUUCCAGUCUGUAUCACAGCCGGCCGUGAUUGGGAGUCCCCAUUGGGCGCCGCGUCGUCCGGGUUAGUGUUUGGCCCGGGGGUAGGCCGUCAUCGUAAAUAAGAAUUUGUUCUUAACUGACUUGCGUAGUUAAAAGUUAAAUAAAUAAAAUAGAAAAUACAAAGGAUUGGAAAGGGAGGGAGUAAAUACUCCUAGACUCAUGUUACUGAUUUAGGACUGUCUAUCCGGAAAAUAUUGUAUUUGCUUGAGUAAUCUCCUACCUUGAGUGAUAUUCUUACUGACCCCCACUAAUGCAUGACCUAGACUAAAACAAGCUCGGACUAAACUAAGCCAACACUGAAAUAAAAUCAACAGAAAUAUGACGUUACUUUUACAAAGGUGCUGUAUAAUAUACAGUAUACAUUUAAAAUAAUUUGUUUUGUAUUUUGUUCAGAUCGUAUGAUUACAAAAGUAUGUAUACAAUUUUAAAUAAAUGAAAUAUUAAAG
Molecule: long non-coding RNA, 1694 nt
Organism: Oncorhynchus tshawytscha (Chinook salmon)
Lineage: Eukaryota; Metazoa; Chordata; Actinopteri; Salmoniformes; Salmonidae
Source: Ensembl